RNAcentral lists this ribosomal RNA (301 nucleotides) under uncultured bacterium. RNAcentral's name for it is "partial 16S ribosomal RNA". It matches the Rfam family "Bacterial small subunit ribosomal RNA", at positions 509 to 807 of the family's 1533-position model. The record is from RNAcentral.
CAGUCGCCGCGGUAAUACGAAGGUCCCAAGCGUUGUUCGGAAUCACUGGGCGUAAAGGGAGCGUAGGCGGCGUGGUAAGUCAGACGUGAAAUCCCGGGGCUCAACCCCGGAACUGCAUCCGAUACUGCCAUGCUUGAGGGUUGGAGAGGUAGCUGGAAUUCUCGGUGUAGCAGUGAAAUGCGUGGAUAUCGAGAGGAACACUCGUGGCGAAGGCGAGCUACUGGACAACAUCUGACGCUGAGGCUCGAAGGCUAGGGUAGCGAAAGGGAUUAGAUACCCCAGUAGUCCCUGUCUCUUAUAC